This 1536-nucleotide ribosomal RNA is filed under the name Escherichia coli. RNAcentral's name for it is "partial 23S ribosomal RNA". It matches the Rfam family "Bacterial large subunit ribosomal RNA", at positions 614 to 2136 of the family's 2925-position model. Lineage: Bacteria; Pseudomonadati; Pseudomonadota; Gammaproteobacteria; Enterobacterales; Enterobacteriaceae. The record is from RNAcentral.
AAUGGGUCAGCGACUUAUAUUCUGUAGCAAGGUUAACCGAAUAGGGGAGCCGAAGGGAAACCGAGUCUUAACUGGGCGUUAAGUUGCAGGGUAUAGACCCGAAACCCGGUGAUCUAGCCAUGGGCAGGUUGAAGGUUGGGUAACACUAACUGGAGGACCGAACCGACUAAUGUUGAAAAAUUAGCGGAUGACUUGUGGCUGGGGGUGAAAGGCCAAUCAAACCGGGAGAUAGCUGGUUCUCCCCGAAAGCUAUUUAGGUAGCGCCUCGUGAAUUCAUCUCCGGGGGUAGAGCACUGUUUCGGCAAGGGGGUCAUCCCGACUUACCAACCCGAUGCAAACUGCGAAUACCGGAGAAUGUUAUCACGGGAGACACACGGCGGGUGCUAACGUCCGUCGUGAAGAGGGAAACAACCCAGACCGCCAGCUAAGGUCCCAAAGUCAUGGUUAAGUGGGAAACGAUGUGGGAAGGCCCAGACAGCCAGGAUGUUGGCUUAGAAGCAGCCAUCAUUUAAAGAAAGCGUAAUAGCUCACUGGUCGAGUCGGCCUGCGCGGAAGAUGUAACGGGGCUAAACCAUGCACCGAAGCUGCGGCAGCGACACUAUGUGUUGUUGGGUAGGGGAGCGUUCUGUAAGCCUGUGAAGGUGUACUGUGAGGUAUGCUGGAGGUAUCAGAAGUGCGAAUGCUGACAUAAGUAACGAUAAAGCGGGUGAAAAGCCCGCUCGCCGGAAGACCAAGGGUUCCUGUCCAACGUUAAUCGGGGCAGGGUGAGUCGACCCCUAAGGCGAGGCCGAAAGGCGUAGUCGAUGGGAAACAGGUUAAUAUUCCUGUACUUGGUGUUACUGCGAAGGGGGGACGGAGAAGGCUAUGUUGGCCGGGCGACGGUUGUCCCGGUUUAAGCGUGUAGGCUGGUUUUCCAGGCAAAUCCGGAAAAUCAAGGCUGAGGCGUGAUGACGAGGCACUACGGUGCUGAAGCAACAAAUGCCCUGCUUCCAGGAAAAGCCUCUAAGCAUCAGGUAACAUCAAAUCGUACCCCAAACCGACACAGGUGGUCAGGUAGAGAAUACCAAGGCGCUUGAGAGAACUCGGGUGAAGGAACUAGGCAAAAUGGUGCCGUAACUUCGGGAGAAGGCACGCUGAUAUGUAGGUGAAGCGACUUGCUCGUGGAGCUGAAAUCAGUCGAAGAUACCAGCUGGCUGCAACUGUUUAUUAAAAACACAGCACUGUGCAAACACGAAAGUGGACGUAUACGGUGUGACGCCUGCCCGGUGCCGGAAGGUUAAUUGAUGGGGUCAGCGCAAGCGAAGCUCUUGAUCGAAGCCCCGGUAAACGGCGGCCGUAACUAUAACGGUCCUAAGGUAGCGAAAUUCCUUGUCGGGUAAGUUCCGACCUGCACGAAUGGCGUAAUGAUGGCCAGGCUGUCUCCACCCGAGACUCAGUGAAAUUGAACUCGCUGUGAAGAUGCAGUGUACCCGCGGCAAGACGGAAAGACCCCGUGAACCUUUACUAUAGCUUGACACUGAACAUUGAGCCUUGAUG